AACGCGAAGAACCUUACCAAGGCUUGACAUAUAGCGAAAAGUGGCAGAGAUGUCAUGUCCGCAAGGGCGCUAUACAGGUGGUGCAUGGUUGUCGUCAGCUCGUGUCGUGAGAUGUUGGGUUAAGUCCCGCAACGAGCGCAACCCUCGUUCUGUGUUGCCAGCAUUUAGUUGGGGACUCACAGGAGACUGCCGGGGUCAACUCGGAGGAAGGUGGGGAUGACGUCAAAUCAUCAUGCCCCUUAUGUCUUGGGCUGCACGCAUGCUACAAUGGCCGGUACAAAGGGCUGCGAAACCGCAAGGUGGAGCGAAUCCCAUAAAGCCGGUCUCAGUUCGGAUUGGGGUCUGCAACUCGACCCCAUGAAGUUGGAGUUGCUAGUAAUCGUAGAUCAGCAACGCUACGGUGAAUACGUUCCCGGGUCUUGUACACACCG
RNAcentral lists this ribosomal RNA (431 nucleotides) under uncultured bacterium. RNAcentral's name for it is "bacterial SSU rRNA". It matches the Rfam family "Bacterial small subunit ribosomal RNA", at positions 958 to 1392 of the family's 1533-position model. The record is from RNAcentral.